GGGCGGGGCAUGCUGGCUCCACCAACCACAGCUGGCAGGAGAGCAGCAUGUGGGUGACUGAUAAACUAACUGACCCAUUAUUUGAUGGGAGGAGGAAGGGAGAAAUCCCAGGCAGCCAAUGAGAGAAAACAUCACCUCAGGGAAGGGCAGGCCCCAAACCAGGCCAGAGUGACAGCCUAGGGGACCAAUCCGAGGCAGCAUCACCUCAGGGGAGGACUCUGAGAGCCCUCCCCACCUAUGCCAGUGAAGACCGAUGUGAGAAGGCGGUGGGCUCUGCCGGCAGCCAGGCCAGGCUUCGACAUGGCGCACGUGGGGCCUGCCCCAGGCCGAGCAGCCCCCGGCCCAGGGCCUCUCUUCCCCCCUUCCACACCUCCCCCCUCUCUCCCCUCCGCCAUGUUCUGGAACCCCCAUCUCCAUGGGAGCCACCGCCUCACAGAGAGUCAGUAUCCCAUGGCCGGGCCACUAGACAGCAGCCAUGGACCACCAGGCUUCUCACCACCAUCACCACUGGCAUCCGACUGGCGGUGACGAGGAUGUGACGACACCAAGGGGCUGUACCUGCAGAGCCUGGGCCGCUGCCGGCAGUGAGCGCUGAUGGCCUCCAUCCUGUCUCCCCCCUCUCACGGCUACCGCAAGCUGGUGACUGCCCAGCAGCACCUCUUCCUCCUGGAUUACAGCAGGACCCUAGCACAUCUUCCGCAUCAGCUUCCCUGCCUCCAUCUGCUUCCGACAGGUGGUCGUCACCAGCCCGGAGGUGAUGUGGAUCCUUCUGCUGCUCAGAGGUCCCCCACUGGGUCAGCGGCCUCAGCACCUCCUGCCGUUGCCUCUUCCUCCGCUGCGG
Molecule: long non-coding RNA, 841 nt
Organism: Gymnogyps californianus (California condor)
Lineage: Eukaryota; Metazoa; Chordata; Aves; Accipitriformes; Cathartidae
Exons: 3
Source: RefSeq, a predicted model, not a curated record